Molecule: ribosomal RNA, 253 nt
Filed under: uncultured bacterium
Lineage: Bacteria
Description: partial 16S ribosomal RNA
Rfam family: Bacterial small subunit ribosomal RNA
Source: RNAcentral
UACGAGAGGCCCAAACGUUAUUCGGAAUUACUGGGCUUAAAGAGUUCGUAGGCGGCAUGAAAAGUAGGGUGUGAAAGCCCUCGGCUCAACCGAGGAAUUGCGCUCUAAACUGUCGUGCUCGAGGAGUCUAGAGGUGAGCGGAACUGAUGGUGGAGCGGUGAAAUGCGUUGAUAUCAUCAGGAACACCGGAGGCGAAGGCGGCUCACUGGGGAUUUUCUGACGCUGAGGAACGAAAGCCAGGGGAGCGAACGGG